CAUAUCUGAUGUGGUCACAGUAUCUGCAAAUGUUGAGGAAGAGGUAUUCCCAUUUUGUUCUUUAUGCUGCAUGCUGGUCACUGAAUGUGUAGGUCACGAACGGUACACGUUUCGAAAUACACAGAUCACACGCAUCCAUGAAUUCAUGUUACAUUCAUUCUGCAUAAACUAACAUUUUAUCUUUUUCAAUACACAGGAAUCUCCAACUUCUGAACCGCCUUCUGAAUUACCAAUGAAGCGGGUGUCAAGGCCAGCGAGGAUUUUGUGUUCUCCAUUUGUUGCGGGUGCAGGAAAGUUAUCCGGCAUGACGACAACAUUAUUGUAUUUGGAAGUUACAAAGACAAUGUUGAAGAAGCUGAUAAGUCGACAUUCUUGGGUUGGUUCCAGAGAGGGUACAAGCCCAAAAAAAGGCACGAAUAUUUUCUUCCCUUUCUUCAAUCUAUUGCUCAUAUGGUCACAGUAAAUUGUUCUUACAUUUCUUAUUUCAGGAAAAAGUUUAAUGAGCAUGAUGACGUAAUCAAACCAGCUUUUGUUAUUGGCUCAUAUCCAGUCGGUAACAAAACAUGGUUCCACCAACUCGUAGACCCUGAGACGUCUUUGAAUAGCGGGGUAUGGUAACAUUCAUGUAUUUGUUCACUGUACAAUUACUUGUUAACAAAUGAGACCACGUUACGACUCUGCUACCACAUCAUGCACGAACUACUAUGCGGUUCACUGACAUAGUGGUCUCAUAAGUAUAUGUUUUGUUCAACAAGUCACAUACCAACCUGGUCACAAGUCACAGAAUCACAACUUUAUGAAAUUUUCUGAUGUUGCUCUUAUUUCUUAUCUUUUUGAUCACACAGCACAUGGAUGCAUGCUUCUACUACAUUCGACAGCUAGCAAAAUUUGGAAAAAUACAGUACAGAGCUACAACAACAAACUCCUCUUUCCAGAACAUGAUAAAAGACAUAUACCCCGCUUUCAAAAAAGAUCCUAAUGUUCUGUUGUCAGGAAGCCGGUUGUUCCAG
Molecule: long non-coding RNA, 1010 nt
Filed under: Olea europaea (common olive)
Lineage: Eukaryota; Viridiplantae; Streptophyta; Magnoliopsida; Lamiales; Oleaceae
Description: long non-coding RNA (OEUR_LNC009615)
Source: RNAcentral